This 90-nucleotide transfer RNA is filed under the name Gammaproteobacteria bacterium. RNAcentral's name for it is "tRNA-Ser". It matches the Rfam family "tRNA". From Rfam's summary of the family: Transfer RNA (tRNA) molecules are approximately 80 nucleotides in length. The record is from RNAcentral. Lineage: Bacteria; Pseudomonadati; Pseudomonadota; Gammaproteobacteria. RNAcentral also lists the same sequence under 3 other names.
GGAGAGGUGGCUGAGCGGUCGAAAGCGGCGGUCUUGAAAACCGUUGAAGGUUUACGCCUUCCCAGGGUUCGAAUCCCUGCCUCUCCGCCA